AGCAGCCGCGGUAAUUCCAGCUCCAAUAGCGUAUAUUAAAGUUGUUGCAGUUAAAAAGCUCGUAGUUGAAUUUCGGGAUCAAUUUAUCGGUCGUGCCUAUGGUAUGAACUGGUACAAUUGGUUUCUCCCUUCUGACGAAGCAUGAUGUCAUUAAUUUGGUGUCGUGGGGAAUCAGGACUGUUACUUUGAAAAAAUUAGAGUGUUUAAAGCAAGCAUUAGCUUGAAUACAUUAGCAUGGAAUAAUGAAAUAGGACGUUUGAUCCUAUUUCGUUGGUUUCUAGGAUCGACGUAAUGAUUAAUAGGGAUAGUUGGGGGCAUUAGUAUUCAAUUGUCAGAGGUGAAAUUCUCGGAUUUAUUGAAGACUAACUACUGCGAAAGCAUUUGCCAAGGAUGUUUUCAUUAAUCAAGAACGAAAGUUAGGGGAUCGAAGACGAUCAGAUACCGUCGUAGUCUUAACCAUAAACUAUGCCGACUAGGGAUCGGAUGAUGUUAAUUUUUUAAUGACUCA
RNAcentral lists this ribosomal RNA (508 nucleotides) under uncultured fungus. Its description in RNAcentral is "SSU rRNA". It matches the Rfam family "Eukaryotic small subunit ribosomal RNA", at positions 569 to 1078 of the family's 1831-position model. Lineage: Eukaryota; Fungi. The record is from RNAcentral.